This 553-nucleotide ribosomal RNA is filed under the name uncultured bacterium. Its description in RNAcentral is "bacterial SSU rRNA". It matches the Rfam family "Bacterial small subunit ribosomal RNA", at positions 339 to 906 of the family's 1533-position model. The record is from RNAcentral.
CUACGGGAGGCAGCAGUAGGGAAUUUUCCGCAAUGGGCGAAAGCCUGACGGAGCAAUACCGCGUGAGGGAAGACGGCCUAUGGGUUGUAAACCUCUUUUUUCAGGGAGGAAUUUUGACGUGUACCUGAAGAAUAAGCAUCGGCUAACUCCGUGCCAGCAGCCGCGGUAGGACGGAGGAUGCAAGUGUUAUCCGGAAUCACUGGGCGUAAAGCGUCUGUAGGUGGUUGAACAAGUCAACUGUUAAAUCUUGAGGCUCGACUUCAAAAUCGCAGUCGAAACUGUUUGACUAGAGUAUAGUAGGGGUAAAGGGAAUUUCCAGUGGAGCGGUGAAAUGCGUAGAUAUUGGAAAGAACACCGAUGGCGAAGGCACUUUACUGGGCUAUUACUGACACUCAGAGACGAAAGCUAGGGUAGCAAAUGGGAUUAGAUACCCCAGUAGUCCUAGCCGUAAACAAUGGAUACUAGAUGUUGAACAGAUCGACCUGUGCAGUAUCAAAGCUAACGCGUUAAGUAUCCCGCCUGGGAAGUAUGCUCGCAAGAGUGAAACUCAAAG